RNAcentral lists this small RNA (157 nucleotides) under Martinezella lusitana. RNAcentral's name for it is "Rhizobium lusitanum sRNA Atu_C7". The stretch from base 58 to 157 matches the Rfam family "Rhizobiales sRNA Atu_C7", at positions 53 to 157 of the family's 157-position model. The record is from RNAcentral. Lineage: Bacteria; Pseudomonadati; Pseudomonadota; Alphaproteobacteria; Hyphomicrobiales; Rhizobiaceae.
AGGUUAUCUCAGUGUUCGGCGCAGUUUGGGGUUUGUUUUUCAAAGCAUGCGCUAAGUGUUCUCCUGGCGCGUCCUGAAGCCGCAGGUGUUUCCUCCCUUGCCUGUGGUGAUGCGCCCGCCUCGCCUCGCUCGCUGCACCAGCUGAGCGGGGCAUCUU